Molecule: ribosomal RNA, 512 nt
Filed under: uncultured bacterium
Lineage: Bacteria
Description: bacterial SSU rRNA
Rfam family: Bacterial small subunit ribosomal RNA
Source: RNAcentral
CUGGCUCAGGACGAACGCUGGCGGCGUGCCUAACACAUGCAAGUCGAGCGGGGACAUGCGACGGAAGCGAAGUUUCGGAUGGAGCGGAAGAUGUAUGUUCUAGCGGCGGACGGGUGAGUAACGCGUGAGCAACCUGUCCCUUACAGGGGGAUAACACAGCGAAAGUUGUACUAAUACCGCAUAAGACCACGGAUUCACAUGGAUCAGGGGUCAAAGGAGCAAUCCGGUAAGGGGUGGGCUCGCGUCCGAUUAGAUAGUUGGUGAGGUAACGGCCCACCAAGUCGACGAUCGGUAGCCGACCUGAGAGGGUGAUCGGCCACAUUGGGACUGAGACACGGCCCAAACUCCUACGGGAGGCAGCAGUGGGGAAUAUUGGGCAAAUGGGGGAAACCCUGACCCAGCAACGCCGCGUGAGGGAAGAAGGUUUUCGGAUCGUAAACCUCUGUCCUUGGUGAAGAGUAAGAGACGGUAGCCAAGGAGGAAGCCCCGGCUAACUACGUGCCAGCCGCCGC